RNAcentral lists this ribosomal RNA (372 nucleotides) under uncultured bacterium. Its description in RNAcentral is "bacterial SSU rRNA". It matches the Rfam family "Bacterial small subunit ribosomal RNA", at positions 524 to 898 of the family's 1533-position model. The record is from RNAcentral.
GACGAAGGAUCCAAGCGUUGUCCGGAUUUACUGGGUUUAAAGGGUGCGUAGGCGGGGAAUUAAGUCAGUGGUGAAAGCCUACAGCUUAACUGUAGAAUUGCCAUUGAAACUGACUUUCUCGAGUGCGGUUGAGGUGACUGGAAUGUUACAUGUAGCGGUGAAAUGCUUAGAUAUGUAACAGAACACCAAUUGCGAAGGCAGGUCACUAAGCCGUAACUGACGCUGAGGCACGAAAGCGUGGUGAGCAAACAGGAUUAGAUACCCUGGUAGUCCACGCCCUAAACGUUGAAUACUCGGUCUUGGCGAUAUACAGUCAGGGCCCAAGCGAAAGCGUUAAGUAUUCCACCUGGGAAGUACGUUCGCAAGAAUGAA